UGGGGUAAUGGCCUACCAAGGCGACGAUCUGUAGCUGGUUUGAGAGAACGAUCAGCCACACUGGGACUGAGACACGGCCCAGACUCCUACGGGAGGCAGCAGUGGGGAAUAUUGGACAAUGGGCGCAAGCCUGAUCCAGCAAUGCCGCGUGUGUGAAGAAGGCCUGCGGGUUGUAAAGCACUUUCAGUUGGGAGGAAAGGUUUAAGUUUAAUACGCUUGAACUGUGACGUUACCAACAGAAGAAGCACCGGCUAACUCUGUGCCAGCAGCCGCGGUAAUACAGAGGGUGCAAGCGUUAAUCGGAAUUACUGGGCGUAAAGCGCGCGUAGGCGGUUUGUUAAGUCGGAUGUGAAAUCCCUGGGCUCAACCUGGGAACUGCAUUCGAAACUGACUGACUAGAGUAUGGUAGAGGGUGGUGGAAUUCCUAGUGUUUCGGUGAAAUGCGUAUAUAUUUGGAGGAACAUCAGUGGUGAAGGCGACCACCCUGGACCAAUACUGACGCUGAGGUGCGAAAGCGUGUGGAGCAAACAGGAUUAGAUACCCUGGUAGUCCACGUCCGUAAACGAUGUCAACUAGAUGUUGGGAGGGUCUACCUCUUAGUGUCGCAGCUAACGCGUUAAGUUGAC
Molecule: ribosomal RNA, 626 nt
Filed under: uncultured bacterium
Lineage: Bacteria
Description: bacterial SSU rRNA
Rfam family: Bacterial small subunit ribosomal RNA
Source: RNAcentral